Molecule: ribosomal RNA, 130 nt
Filed under: Porticoccaceae bacterium
Lineage: Bacteria; Pseudomonadati; Pseudomonadota; Gammaproteobacteria; Cellvibrionales; Porticoccaceae
Description: partial 16S ribosomal RNA
Rfam family: Bacterial small subunit ribosomal RNA
Source: RNAcentral
AAGAUUAAACUGAAGAGUUUGAUCAUGGCUCAGAUUGAACGCUGGCGGCAGGCCUAACACAUGCAAGUCGAGCGCGAAAACACUUCGGUGUGAGUAGAGCGGCGGACGGGUGAGUAAUGCUUGGGAAUCU